CCUACGGGAGGCAGCAGUGAGGAAUAUUGGUCAAUGGGCGCGAGCCUGAACCAGCCAAGCAGCGUGAAGGAUGACUGCCCUACGGGUUGUAAACUUCUUUUAUAAAGGAAUAAAGUGAGGCACGUGUGUCUUCUUGUAUGUAUCUUAUGAAUAAGGAUCGGCUAACUCCGUGCCAGCAGCCGCGGUAAUAUGGUGGAUCCGAGCGUUAUCCGGAUUUGUUGGGUUGAAAGGGAGCGUGGAUGGGUUGUUAAGCUAGUUGUGAAAGUUUGGGGGUCAACCGUAAAAUUGCAAGUGAUACUGGCGGUCUAGAGAACAGUUGAGGUAGGCGGAAUUCGAGGUGUAGCGGUGAAAUGCUUAGAGAUCACGAAGAACACCGAUUGCGAAGGCAGCUUACUAAACUGCCACUGACGUUGAUGCACGAAAGUGUGGGUAUCAAACAGGAUUAGAUACCCCAGUAGUC
Molecule: ribosomal RNA, 460 nt
Filed under: uncultured bacterium
Lineage: Bacteria
Description: partial 16S ribosomal RNA
Rfam family: Bacterial small subunit ribosomal RNA
Source: RNAcentral